GAUGAACGCUAGCGGCAGGCUUAACACAUGCAAGUCGAGGGGCAGCGCGGGGCGGCAACGUCCUGGCGGCGACCGGCGGAAGGGUGCGUAACGCGUGAGCAACAUGCCCGUUGCCCGGGGACAACCGGUGGAAACGCCGAGUAAUCCCCGAUGGGACGGAGGCCCUCAUGGGUUUCCGUUGAAAGUUACGGCGGCGACGGAUUGGCUCGCGUCCGAUUAGCUAGUUGGCGGGGUAACGGCCCACCAAGGCUACGAUCGGUAGGGGUUCUGAGAGGAAGGUCCCCCACAAUGGAACUGAGACACGGUCCAUACUCCUACGGGAGGCAGCAGUGAGGAAUAUUGGUCAAUGGGCGGAAGCCUGAACCAGCCAUGCCGCGUGCGGGAAGGAGGCCCUAUGGGCUGUGAACCGCUUUUGCCUGGGGGCAAUAAGGGCGUCGGCACGUCCG
RNAcentral lists this ribosomal RNA (446 nucleotides) under uncultured bacterium. RNAcentral's name for it is "SSU rRNA". It matches the Rfam family "Bacterial small subunit ribosomal RNA", at positions 28 to 468 of the family's 1533-position model. The record is from RNAcentral.